AUUAUACCGUGAAACUGCGAAUGGCUCAUUAAAUCAGUUAUCGUUUAUUUGAUAGUACCUUACUACUUGGAUAACCGUGGUAAUUCUAGAGCUAAUACAUGCUGAAAACCCCAACUUCGGAAGGGGUGUAUUUAUUAGAUAAAAAACCAACGCCCUUCGGGGCUUCUUGGUGAUUCAUAAUAACUUUACGGAUCGCAUGGCCUUGCGCCGGCGACGGUUCAUUCAAAUUUCUGCCCUAUCAACUUUCGAUGGUAAGGUAUUGGCUUACCAUGGUUUCAACGGGUAACGGGGAAUUAGGGUUCGAUUCCGGAGAGGGAGCCUGAGAAACGGCUACCACAUCCAAGGAAGGCAGCAGGCGCGCAAAUUACCCAAUCCCGACACGGGGAGGUAGUGACAAUAAAUACUGAUACAGGGCUCUUUUGGGUCUUGUAAUUGGAAUGAGUACAAUUUAAACCUCUUAACGAGGAACAAUUGGAGGGCAAGUCUGGUGCCAGCAGCCGCGGUAAUUCCAGCUCCAAUAGCGUAUAUUAAAGUUGUUGCAGUUAAAAAGCUCGUAGUUGAAACUUGGGUCUGGCUGGCAGGUCCGCCUCACCGCGUGUACUUGUCCGGCCGGGCCUUCCUUCUGGAGAACCUCAUGCCCUUCACUGGGCGUGUUGGGGNACCAGGACUUUUACUUUGAAAAAAUUAGAGUGUUCAAAGCAGGCCUUUGCUCGAAUACGUUAGCAUGGAAUAAUAGAAUAGGACGUGCGUUCCUAUUUUGUUGGUUUCUAGGAACGCCGUAAUGAUUAAUAGGGACAGUCGGGGGCAUCAGUAUUCAAUUGUCAGAGGUGAAAUUCUUGGAUUUAUUGAAGACUAACUACUGCGAAAGCAUUUGCCAAGGAUGUUUUCAUUAAUCAGUGAACGAAAGUUAGGGGAUCGAAGACGAUCAGAUACCGUCGUAGUCUUAACCGUAAACUAUGCCGACUAGGGAUCGGGCGAUGUUCUUUUUCUGACUCGCUCGGCACCUUACGAGAAAUCAAAGUUUUUGGGNUCUGGGGGGAGUAUGGUCGCAAGGCUGAAACU
Molecule: ribosomal RNA, 1062 nt
Filed under: Neocamarosporium aquaticum
Lineage: Eukaryota; Fungi; Ascomycota; Dothideomycetes; Neocamarosporiaceae
Description: SSU rRNA
Rfam family: Eukaryotic small subunit ribosomal RNA
Source: RNAcentral